Molecule: non-coding RNA, 21 nt
Filed under: Caenorhabditis elegans
Lineage: Eukaryota; Metazoa; Nematoda; Chromadorea; Rhabditida; Rhabditidae
Source: RNAcentral
UUGUAGUCGCUCAAUGUGAAU